Molecule: ribosomal RNA, 329 nt
Filed under: uncultured eukaryote
Lineage: Eukaryota
Description: partial 18S ribosomal RNA
Rfam family: Eukaryotic small subunit ribosomal RNA
Source: RNAcentral
CCCUUAGAUGUCCUGGGCCGCACGCGCGCUACACUGAGUGUCUGAGAUACGAGUCUGCCUGGUCCGGCAAGGUCUAGGUAAUCGCUAAAAGACACAUCAUGCUUGGGAUAGAUUAUUGCAAAUAUUAAUCUUGAACGAGGAAUUCCUAGUAAGCGCAAGUCAACAGCUUGCGUUGAUUACGUCCCUGCCCUUUGUACACACCGCCCGUCGCUACUACUGAUUGGAUGUUUAAGCGAGGUUCUCGAACUGCUAGCGACUUAGCUACGGUGAGGUCGCAGUGUGGGAAGUGAACCUAGCUUUGGUGUCUAGAGGAAGUAAAAGUCGUAACA